This is a long non-coding RNA of Herpailurus yagouaroundi (jaguarundi), 4192 nucleotides long. RefSeq lists it as uncharacterized. NCBI's taxonomy places the organism in Eukaryota, Metazoa, Chordata, Mammalia, Carnivora, Felidae. The transcript has 3 exons. The record is from RefSeq and is a predicted model, not a curated record.
GCCUCCGGGGACCGGUGGGGGGAUGGGGCCCGGAUGGAUAAAUAACUCCCUGGCGCCCUCCGCUCCACUACGCCUACAAGUGCCUUCCUUACCGCUCCUCUAUUCUGGCUCUGUACGGGCUAGGGGCAGAAGGCCUUAGGGAGCUGUACCCGGUGGCUUCCUGGGCGUGUUGGCCAGAUCUGCCUGUUUCACCCCCACCCCAAAUCUCCAGUGAUGUGUUUGCCCCAGAAAGACGAGGGAAGGGAGAGGAGAACUGUUGGAAGCUGCUGAAAGCGCUUUCUUUGAUCUUGAUACUUUUCACUGAGGAGUCUAAAAGUAUGGAGUCCAACUUCCUGACUUUACAGACUGAGAAACUGGGGCUUACUAAAUUGUGACCAGGCCUGAUCUCUUAUUCACCUGGUAGAACCCGGGCCUCCUGGGCCUCCUGCUCCUGGGCAGCCGCCUACAAUUUUACCCUGCAUCUGCCAGGGCCUGCUGUGGGUCCCGAGGUGAGGGUGAUGGACUAUAGCCCCUCCCCCCCCCCUCGCCCCGUUUCCUCAGCGGCUCUCCCUUCCGGAAUGUUAAGGCAGGAGCCCAUCUGGUCAUUGUUAACCUGCUUAUUAUUAUUUUGUUAUUGUCCGGGCUCAAUGGGCCUCCUAAAAGACUGGCUGGGGAUGGGAUAUGAGGGUGUGGGGAGAGGGCAACCUCUCCAACACUCCCUAGGGAUUGUUGGGACAUCUAGGUCUGGCUGACAGCUCCUGCACACAACCCCUCAGGUAGACUGUGAAGGCUCCAAGGACCCUUCUUCCUCCGACUCCCUCUGACCUUUCACUUUCACCUUCCCUGAGCCUUGGCCUCUCAGCUCGUAGCUGCCUCAGGGCCUUUGCAUGUACUAUGCCCUUUGCCCGUGCUCCCUUCCCCACUGCAAAUCCUAAUGUCCUCGGAGAGGCCACUCCCACUCACUGUGUUUCCAUUAUAUCCUUGGAAGCAUUCAGAAUGACAGGAUGGACCAUAAAUUUCCGGAGGGCAAGGACCUUUAUCUAUCCCGAACCUGUUGGUCACCAACAUCCAAUACAGCACCUGGCUCAGUGUUGAAGGAGAAUGCUGCCUGGCCUAGUUGCUGUGGCAGUCUCUGGCUUCAGUUUGUCUGACUCACCUGUGGGCAUGAACAUUCCCAGUCCCCAACCCUCGUCUCCUACCUCCCUACCUCAUCUGGCCCUGCCCCUGAUUGGGCUCUGGAGCAAGAAGGCCAUGAAGGAAACUGUCACCAGGAGCAGGAGGCCUGCCCUGGUGGGCAGUGGCCCAGGGGUGUGAGUGUGUCUAUAUCCACACAAAUGUCUGUUUGUGCCUGUGUUGUGUUCAUGUAUGGGUCAGUGUACUCAGGUGUGUUCACACACAAGGGCAGGUGUCUAUGUGCCAGUGUGGGUUCAUGCACGUAGAUCUGUGUGCCUGUAUGUAUACACAUAUAUAUAUACCUGUGUAUACGUGUGUGUCCAUUUGUGUGUUUCUAGGCACGUAGGUCUCUGUGCCCUCCAGACCUGUCCUCUCAGGUCCCAGCCUGAGCAAAGGGACCCUUGAUGAGAGGGGAUCCUGUCCCCAGCCUGUUGCUAGCCUUGUCCUGGGACCCUGCUCUGGGCCUGUGCAAUGGGGCUAGAUUGGAGGAGAUGGGGCCAUGCUUCUCUCCAAGGCAGGACAUGAGUGGGUGGCCUAGAUAGCCUCCACCCUGACCUUGGGCCUUGACCUUAAUAAGUGGGUGAAUGGUCUGGUGAAAUAUGGGCAGAACCUACCUGAGCUGAAAAACUGACCAGCAAACAGGCCUUGGGAAAUGGAGGCACAGGGAACCCAAGGCAAUUCACCUCUCUGAGUCUCAGUUUCCCCCUCAUGAAAAUGGAGUGAAAAAUCUCACCUCCCUCGUGGAGUAUGGUGAUUUUUGUUUCUUUUCUUUUCUUCUUCUUUUUUUUUUUUUUUUUUUCAUUCAGUAAACUCUACCCCCUUCAUGGGGCUAGAACUCACGACCCUGAGAUCAAGAGUCCACAUGCUCUACUGACUGAGCCAACCAGGUGCCUCAAAAAAUACUGUGGUUUUUAUUGGAUUUAAAGGAAUAGAGCUCAUAAGUGCUUUCUAUAAUUGUUUUAUGUUAUUAUUAUAAGGCUAGCCUUAGCUGUGUAUGGUUGUUUGGCCUGGAGCUCCUUCAGCCGGAAGUGCCCUUCUAUCCAACAGGCAAAUUUCUACUCCUGCUUCAAAACCCACUGUCUCCUCCUCCAAGAAGUCUUCCCUAUCCACACCCUCAAGGAGUCCCCCUAAGCCACCCCCCACCCGCCACCGUCUGGCUGAGCCCGUCCACCAUCUGUAUUGGGCUCUGUCUGCCCCAGAUGGGGCAGGGGAGAGUCCUGUAAGCUGGGUAGGCAGGACCUGUCUUGGCCUCUAAGUAUGGGGAGCUGCCCUGGGCAGACUCUGCCAGCCCCACUUUUCAAGGAGUUGAAAAACUGGCUCCUUCAGUCUCCUCUGCUGUGCACCUGCUGUUCCCUCUGACCCAACACCUUUUCCUACCCUCUCCUUUCUCCUAGCCAGAAAGCCCUCUGGGACACCCUAAUACUGCUCUUCCACUGGGACCAAUCCUAUCCCCACCUCAUCAGGCAGUUCAAUAGGAGGCCUGAAUCCAUCAACCAGCCGUAUGCAGUGAACUAGGGGUAACUCCUAUUCUCUCAUUCAUUCGACAGGUACUGACUGAGCACCUACUGUGAGCCAAGCGAUGGGGACACACACGAAUGACACAAACACCCUCAACCCCGCACCCGGUCUGAAAGAGGAACCUGUCAAACGCGGCUUCAAGGAGGCUGAAGGGUGCCCCCUCCAUGGACGGGGGUAUGUUUUAGAGUUGGGUGAUCUGGGAGGGGCACCCUGGGAGGUGAUGCUGAACGAAGGAGAAGCUGGAGCAAAUCUUGAGCUAAUUUGAAGGCCCAACAUCCCAGACUGUGGGAACAGCAAAAGCAAACGCCCUGGGGCAGAACCCAGCUGGCCACAUUGAUGGAGAGAGGCAGGUGGCGCUGGAUUGGGUGAGCCAGGGGAAGCCAGAGGGAGAGAAGGAAAGCGAGGGUGCAGGACUUCUACAGAACCCGGUGGUGUUUGUCCCAAGAGCAGUGGAAGUGGCCGUAGAAGACGGGAUUGAGGGAGAAGUCGGGAACAGGGCUCAGCCUGGACUCUGCAUUUUCACCCUUCCUCUCCCAGCCCCUCCAGGAGUCUCAGGACAUUAUCUCACUUCCCAGAUCAGCGUCCAGGGAGGGUGCGGGACCCACCCGGUCGAAAGAAUCCCCAGCCCCUACCCCCACCCACCCAUCCCCGUUUGGAGCGGAAGCUGAAACUAACCCGCACCCGUCUCCCAGCCACGGCUCUAAUCUCUGCUGGUCUGGCGCCUCUCUCUCGAGAGCGAAGAGCUUACCCUUCUUGUUUAAAGCGACCUGCAACUCGGUUUAAUGUUGAGUCUUUAUUUGAAGACCCAGAGAACUAAAAUCUACUCGAUGACACGGAAAGCCCCAAAGAAAGAGAAAGAAGGGGUGAAUCGGGAAGCAGAAAGGGGUGCUUGGCCAGCCGCAGGGAGGGGACCCACACCCUGUCCUCUGGGCCGGCACUGGCGCUCUCCAGUCUCACAAGACCAUUUUACAGACGAGGAAACCGACGCGUCCUCAGCGCCUUGUCGGCACUGGUGGAACGGGACUGAUAGAGCUUGCUUUACGACCCGUGGCCCAGUUGACUCCACCGAGGGUGCAGUGUCGACAGCCUCUCGUAGGCAGGCCGGGAAGAGCGGCUCAGUCUAAGUCCAGUGUUCAUUGAUUGUCCUGGGUGAGCCCAGAAGGGCGCCGGCUCAAGGAGAGAACCACGCCUCACAACACCUUCCCUACCAGAUUCCUGCGCUCAUCCAGGGAACUCUGAUGUAUACCCAGGCCCAGCCUCAAGCACCAUCAGCCUCAGUCACCCCUUCCGCCACCCACUCUUGAGCACCUACUGUGUGUCCGGGCUCUGUGUGCUGGGGGAGGGUUUUCCAUCAUCCCUCAUCACCUCCUAAGCUGAUCCGCGAAUAGAAGACAGGACAGAACCACCGUAAUGAAGAAGUAUGCUUUAGGCUGAUGUCACUCUUUCUCCUCCAGGUCGACCCCUUUUUCUGUUUUUACUUGGGUAAAUAUAUUUCAAAAGGGAAACUUCAUGUCACCACCAA